RNAcentral lists this ribosomal RNA (691 nucleotides) under uncultured Glomeromycotina. RNAcentral describes it as "SSU rRNA". It matches the Rfam family "Eukaryotic small subunit ribosomal RNA", at positions 427 to 1113 of the family's 1831-position model. Lineage: Eukaryota; Fungi; Glomeromycota. The record is from RNAcentral.
AGCAGGCGCGCAAAUUACCCAAUCCCGACACGGGGAGGUAGUGACAAUAAAUAACAAUACGGGGCUCUUUCGGGUCUCGUAAUUGGAAUGAGUACAAUUUAAAUCCCUUAACGAGGAACAAUUGGAGGGCAAGUCUGGUGCCAGCGGCCGCGGUAAUUCCAGCUCCAAUAGCGUAUAUUAAAGUUGUUGCAGUUAAAAAGCUCGUAGUUGAAUUUCGGGAUUGANNNNUCGGUCGUGCCUUAAGGGGUAUGAACUGGUGUAGUCAAUUUCUCACCUUCUGGAGAACCGCGAUGCCCUUAAUUGGGUGUCACGGGGAACCAGGACCUUUACUUUGAAAAAAUUAGAGUGUUUAAAGCAGGCAUUUUGCUUGAAUACAUUAGCAUGGAAUAAUAAAAUAGGACGGCAUGAUUCUAUUUUGUUGGUUUCUAGGAUCACCGUAAUGAUUAAUAGGGAUAGUUGGGGGCAUUAGUAUUCAAUUGUCAGAGGUGAAAUUCUUGGAUUUAUUGAAGACUAACUACUGCGAAAGCAUUUGCCAAGGAUGUUUUCAUUAAUCAAGAACGAAAGUUAGGGGAUCGAAGACGAUCAGAUACCGUCGUAGUCUUAACCAUAAACUAUGCCGACUAGGAAUCAGACGAUGUUAAUUUUUUAAUGACUCGUUUGGCACCUUACGGGAAACCAAAGUGUUUGGGUU